GAUGAACGCUGGCGGCGUGCUUAACACAUGCAAGUCGAACGGAAAGGCCCAAGCUUGCUUGGGUACUCGAGUGGCGAACGGGUGAGUAACACGUGGGUGAUCUGCCCUGCACUUCGGGAUAAGCCUGGGAAACUGGGUCUAAUACCGGAUAGGACCACAUUUUGGAUGGUGUGGUGGAAAGUUUUUCGGUGUGGGAUGAGCUCGCGGCCUAUCAGCUUGUUGGUGGGGUAAUGGCCUACCAAGGCGUCGACGGGUAGCCGGCCUGAGAGGGUGUACGGCCACAUUGGGACUGAGAUACGGCCCAGACUCCUACGGGAGGCAGCAGUGGGGAAUAUUGCACAAUGGGCGCAAGCCUGAUGCAGCGACGCCGCGUGGGGGAUGACGGCCUUCGGGUUGUAAACUCCUUUCGCUAGGGACGAAGCGUGUUUGUGACGGUACCUGGAGAAGAAGCACCGGCUAACUACGUG
This 467-nucleotide ribosomal RNA is filed under the name uncultured bacterium. Its description in RNAcentral is "partial 16S ribosomal RNA". It matches the Rfam family "Bacterial small subunit ribosomal RNA", at positions 28 to 507 of the family's 1533-position model. The record is from RNAcentral.